AAGUUACUCCCUCCGAUUCAUAUUAAUUAUCUCAAAUUUGCCCAAAUGUGGAUGUAUCUAUGCCUAAAAUGCGUCUAGAUACAUGUAAUAUUUCAACAAUUAAUAUGGAUCGGAGGGAGUAUAAC
Brachypodium distachyon (stiff brome) is the source of this 125-nucleotide non-coding RNA. Lineage: Eukaryota; Viridiplantae; Streptophyta; Magnoliopsida; Poales; Poaceae. The record is from Rfam.